GACCGUCAGAUUGAAAAUCAACAUGGUCGCUUAUGUUGGCUUCCGGUGAUUCAUACAGAGGAAGAUUAAAGAAGAAAUGAUGCUGGUUUAUUGUCCUGUCACAAAGGAAGUAUUUUAAGCAACAACAUGUCAAGUGACCAGAAAAUAAAGGAGUGGAAGCAGAAAGUGAAAGACAAGUGGAAGUAUGAAAAGACACAGGUUAUUUAUGAGGACAAAGAUGGCGCUCAGGUGACACCAAUUCCUUCCACCACAUCCACUACAACAAGAACUCCAGGACCAGAUGUGACGACCAAACAGACCCCUGGGACAUCAUCUCCGUCUGUGGUAACCGUUGAUAUCACAACCAAGGGUCCACACACUGGUGAGGUGAUCACUGCAGACACCAGCACCCUGAUCAAGACAGUGGGAAUUACAUGCGGGGCGUUGAUAGUCCUCAUACUCCUUAUUGUCAUCUGCAUCUGCUGCUGCAGACGAUCGGCUGCCAAGAGGAACAGGAGGAUGACAGUACGGAGACCUCUGAAUCCUGCAGAACCCGAGGUGGACCAUAUCUAUGCUGAAAUAGAACCUCUACAGAGAUCCACUGGCUCCAGUGGGGCAUCAGGUACAUCAGACGAUGUUCGAUUGCCAAAGAAAAAGGGGAAGGGACGUAAGUCUGGUGUCUCAAGCUUUCGAUACGUAACAACGCGCAUUGCUAAGUUCUUCUCAGUUGAUGAAGACGAGGGUGUUGAUGAUCAGACGGUGAGUUACAAUCGCAGUGGCCAUAAAGAGUCAGCCAGCUUUGGGCCGCCAGUACCGCCGGAUCGAAAUGGGCGAUCAACCAAGAAAAGCAGGAACGCUGUUUCCCGCGGGGAAUCAACUGCAUCCCGACGGCACCUUUUAGAUGGUGAUUCUGUUGAACGCAGGUCCCAUGUGUAUAAUCCACUAACGAGGGAGGAGAAAGGGAGACAAUCUGGCCCAUAUGACAGACUGGCAAUAAGCAGAGAGUUACCGUCGGAUGAGGUCGAAGAGCCGAGUUCACCUCAUGAUUAUUUCAUGCUGAACAAAGAAGGGAAAGUUAGCGAUCCUGAGGAAUACCACGCGCAUUCUGUGGACACAGUAAAAGAGGAUAUCGAAGAUGAUCUUGAAAUAAUUGAUGAGGAAAAUAAGGAUACUGUAGGAGAAAGGGUUUCGAAACAUGACUAUUUUGUUUUGGAGCCGCAUGAGAAAGAAGAGGAGACUUUCGUAGGAAAAUGUGCUGAUGUGGAUCAAUCUGGUAAAAGAGGUGAAAGUGGUAGUGUAAGAUCUAAUUCAAAUGGUUCACCUACAAAGACUGUGGGGAGUGGUGGUGGUGUAGGGGAUGGAAGGCCCGAGGCAAAGCCAAGAGUUUCAAAGCAGACUAGUGAACAUGUGCUGAGUGGAUCUUUGCCCCGCUCACCUGUAAAAGUUGAUAAAAAGUCAGAAUUUACAGACAAAACUCCUAAUGGUGACAAUAUUGUAAGGAUGUCAAGUGUUGAUGAGACGUAUGUUUUGUCUAAACUGGGUGAAGCACCCCUACCACCCCCAGGGUUGGCAGCUGGGUCUGUAAUUGGGUCAGAGGGGUGUGAGGCUGGAACAGAUGACUACUUGGUACCUAAAGACAUACCCCACCCAGAUUAUUUAGAUGUUUUCCCUGCCCCGCCAUUGCGCACUCAUUCCUUACCUUUGAAAGACGUAGAUGUUAAAAAUCCUUCCAUGGAGGUAGCUCCUACUAAUUACAUCAAUUCAACUACAAAGCAUCCAAAGGUCCCUGUUGGCAAUUAUGAGCCAUUAAAUAGACACAACAUAAAUACUUCUCCAACAAAACACCACAAGUCAUCAAGUAAACAACCCAAAUCCCCAAGUAGAGACUCAAAAUCCCCUGUAAGACAUAAGACGACACCAGACACUGAGUCACCAAAAACCAUCAAAGACACUGUCCAGAAAAAGGAAUCUAUCAUAACAGAUAUUUAGAUAUGUUUAAAGUGUUGAAAAGUCAUGGUGGACAAAACAAUCUUUAUUUUAUUUUUAAUUAGUCUUUUCCUUAAUCUCAUUUCAGUCUAACUGAAUUAGUGCAUACAUUUUUAGAUAUUUAGAUAUUUUCCCCAUUCUGCUAUAAAGUUUACACCCUUGAGGGGAUAUUAUAAUUUUUACUCUGCAUUUAAAAUGUAUUAUAUUUGUAAAACUAUCUUUGUACAGUGUGUGUUGUUAUUACGAAUGACUGGGGAACCAAUUAUUGUAUUUCUAAAACUUGUAAUUAAAUAUUCAUCAAGGACAAAUAUAAGGGAAUAUUUUUAUGUCCCCCACUAUAGUAGUGGGGGACAUAUUGUUAUUGCCCUGUCUGUUGGUUGGUUGGUUGGUUUGCGCCAACUUUAACAUUUGCAAUAACUUUUGCAAUAUUGAAGAUAGCAACUUGAUAUUUGGCAUGCAUAUGUAUCUCAUGGAGCUGCACAUUUUGAGUGGUGAAAAGUCAAGGUCAAGGUCAUCCUUCAAGGUCAAAGGUCAAAUAUAUGGGUCAAAAUCGCUCAUUUAAUGUACACUUUUGCAGUAUUUCAAUAUUCAAGAUAGCAACUUGAUAUUUGGCAUGCAUGUGUAUCUCAUGCAGCUGCACAUUUUGAGUGGUGAAAGGUCAAGGUCAAGGUCAUCCUUCAAGGUCAGAUGUCAAAUAUAUGUGGCCAAAAUCGCUCAUUUUAUGAGUACUUUUGCAAUAUUGAAGAUAGCAACUUGAUAUUUGGCAUGCAUGUGUAUCUCAUGGAGCUGCACAUUUUGAGUGGUGAAAGGUCAAGGUCAAGGUCAUCCUUCAAGGUCAGAUGUCAAAUAUAUGUGGCCCAAAUCGCUAAUUUUAUGAAUACUUUUGCAAUAUUGAAGAUAGCAACUUGAUAUUUGGCAUGCAUGUGUAUCUCAUGGAGCUGCACAUUUUUAGUGGUGAAAGGUCAAGGUCAAGGUCAUCCUUCAAGGUCAAAUAUAUGGGUCAAAAUUGCUCAUGUAAUGUCACUUCUGCAAUAUUGAAGCUAGCAAUUUUAUAUUUGAAAUGCAUGUGUAUCUCAUGGAGCUGCACAUUUUGAGUGGUGAAGGGUCAAGGUCAUCCUUCAAGGUCAAACGUCAUAUAGGGGGACAUUGUGUUUCACAAACACAUCUUGUAUUGCUUGGCAAUAGUCUUGUUGUAAUUUUAUCUAAAUAUUGGAUAUACGUACAAAUCUGUUUAUUGAUGCAAUGUCUCAGUGCACAUACAUAUUUCAUGAUAAAAGCUCUUACAAAAACUAAUGUGUAAACAAAUUGUUGAAGAAACAACUCAAGUGACAGGACUGAGUUAAAUUUAAAUAUAAGUUUGAAAUAAUGUUUUGUGUUACGUAAAAAUAAUUAAGAAUGUCCGUGGUGAAUAAAAUUUAUUAUUUUGAAGAAGUUUUGUAUCCCUAUUUACUAGUAACAGCUCAAUCAUUGUACAAUCAUCGUACUUUUGGAAUAUAAAAUUAGUUUUAAUUACGGUAUAUUUUAUCUGCUUUUUAAGAAUUGUACAUAAUUAUAAUCUAUGUCGUACUCGGUGUAAAGAAAUACUGGAUAUGCCUUAAAUAUUGUGAUUUAUACAUUGUAAGAUGUGUCUACAAGUAUAUUAAUAGAACUGUGGUAUUUCUAUUUAAUUAACUGGUAUGUGUAUUCACCCUUUUCUUGUAUACUACUUCUUUUGUGUUAUUGUAAAAUAGUGAUAUUGAUUAUCUUAUAUAUUUUGUAAAUACAGAACUUAGAAAUUUGCAGAUUGUUCACAGUAUUUUUUAUUGACGUUAAAGCAUGA
Dreissena polymorpha is the source of this 3784-nucleotide RNA transcript. RefSeq lists it as uncharacterized. The transcript is spliced from 7 exons. The record is from RefSeq and is a predicted model, not a curated record. Lineage: Eukaryota; Metazoa; Mollusca; Bivalvia; Myida; Dreissenidae.